GGAAGGUAAAGACAGGAACUCAGCUAUAGUCACUCUUGCUUGAUGAGGAAUAGGUAGUAUCAGAUUGAGACAUUUUUAAUUUUGAAAAUUAGAUCAUUUCUAGCAGAAGUGUGCCGCUUAAUAAAGCUUCACAUAGAUUCCCUUUUCUGUUCAUUCCUUGUUUCUUACGUAUAUUUCAAGGACUAGAAGGUGUUGGAUUUAGCAGGCAACCAGUUAGACUAGUCCUUGUCCUCAUGAAUCGUAGUUACUUUAACAUAGAUGUUUUUAUUUCUUGGAUUUGUGUGUGUGUGUGUGUUGGUAUAGUUUUAGAGUUUAUCAUGCCUCUGCCAUUGUCUUCCCAUCUGUUUCAUGCCUGACAGUAAAGACUGAAUGUUGUUCACUAUACUGUUAUUUAACUUCUAGAUAACUGCACCCUUUUACGAGUAUGCCUA
RNAcentral lists this long non-coding RNA (431 nucleotides) under Bos taurus (domestic cattle). RNAcentral describes it as "long non-coding RNA NONBTAT017319". The record is from RNAcentral. Lineage: Eukaryota; Metazoa; Chordata; Mammalia; Artiodactyla; Bovidae.